RNA transcript from Conger conger (European conger), 2618 nucleotides. It is a transcript of the gene named dual adaptor of phosphotyrosine and 3-phosphoinositides, with no coding region annotated. The record is from RefSeq and is a predicted model, not a curated record. The transcript has 10 exons. NCBI's taxonomy places the organism in Eukaryota, Metazoa, Chordata, Actinopteri, Anguilliformes, Congridae.
CGUGACUGUCGCGUCCUACUUCCUCUUUUGACGUUUGCUCAGGCUAUUUAUUUAUUUUUCAGCCCCAAGUGCCGACCGUCUGUCGGAGAAAAACUUAUCCUAUGCGGAAAGCGGGGACUGGAUCUUUCCGCGAAGUCUUCCAGCAGGUGGAUCGGCCAUCUGAAGUCCUGUCCUGAAACAUGAGCGACGGCGGUUCGCAGUACAGCUAUCAUUCCAGCAAGGAGGAGAUGGAUGAGCUCGAUACGCUAUGUUGGUACCACUAUGACCUCUCCCGGCACGCAGCAGAGGCCUUGCUUCUGUCAAACGGGAAGGACGGGAGCUACCUGCUCCGAAACAGCCAGGAGGGACCCAACUACCUGGCCCUGUCUGUCCGGGCAAAGGAUUCAGUGAAGCACUUCCACGUAAAGCGGGAGGGUGACGGUUAUUCGUUCGGCUUCAACGUGUUCCCCUCUCUGCAGAAUUUCAUCGAGCACUUCGCCAACCAGCCUCUUCUGGGGAGUGACUCAGGCACUCUGAUGGUGCUGAGGUGUCCGUACCCUCGGAGGGUAGAGGAGCCCUCCAUAUACGAGUCAGUGCGGGUGCACACGGCCAUGCAGACCGGCCGCACAGAGAAAGACCUGGUACCCAACGCCCCCUCCCUGGGCACGAAGGAGGGCUAUCUGGUAAAGCAAGGUGCUGUAGUCAAGAGCUGGAAAACAAGGUGGUUUACCUUAAACAGGAAUGAGCUGAAGUACUUCAAAGACAAAAUGUUCGAUGAGCCAAUUCGAACCCUCAACCUCACGUCCUGCUCUGCGGUUCAGUUUGACUACUCCCAGGAGAGAGUGAACUGUUUCUGGAGGUACUUCAUGGUUGAUUUUGAGGUAUGCUUUGGAUCAUUGUCUUGCUGGAACACCCAACCUCUUUUCAACUUUUAGAGUGAAAGAAGGAAGAUUUAGCAGGAGAGACAGAGGAAUAGAAAGAUGAUAGGAGGGCAUGGAAGGAAGCCAUAUCACUGGGGAGACAGGACUUUUCUCUCUGGUUGGUUGUUGUGCAGCUCCUUGUGAAGACCAGGUCAAGAGGGUUGCCUGCUUUGUUGGUGGGAGGAGAAUGUGUGAGGGUAAGGUCAAAAGAAGAAAGGAGGGAGGGAAAGGUGGACUGGGUGGACUCAGGUUGAAGUCAUCCAGGAGGAUCAGGGGAGUGCCAUUGUCUGGUGAGGAGCUAAGGAGGAUGUCCAUCUCAUCCAAGAAGCUCCCCAGAGGACCUGGAGGGUGAUAGAAAACAAUAAUAAAGAGUUAUGGUUUGGUGUUUCCUGAGAGGACGUUUUACCUGUGUGCUAAGACAGGCGUGGAGGCUGAUGAGUGGAUAAAGAUACUGCGCUGGAAGCUGUCACAGAUACAGAAGGGCCGGUAACAGAUCUGCAAGCAGCGGCACUUUUGAGGAUCGGCCUGUAGAGGGCACACUUUCACAGUUCCAUACUAACAGGAGCCUUUUUCUCCUUGGAGGAUCUGUUGGGGCUCAUUCCAAUCACUUAUUUUUCUCCUCUUUUUCUUUUUCUUUUUUACUUUUCUUGCCCCUAGCUCCACCCACCGAGUGGCUAGGAAAAGAUGAAAGAAAAGAUAAGUAAAGACGGGGAAAGCGAGAAAAUGCUAAUUAGGCAAAUGGAAUGUCCUUGCUCCUUCAAACAUCAGUUCAAAGCCAUAUCCAUUACAGAAGUGGCAGCUGGGGAGAGCUGUAUCCACAGGUUGAUCAUUUAUACAUCAAGCUUUCCGCAGAAAUACUUCCGCAAUGGAUGCGCUGAUAUUUCCUUGCUCAAAGGGAUGUUUGGGAGUUCCUAACUUCUACUUCUAGCUCCUAGAAGGAACAUUUGAGGGAUUGGAAUGUCCUAAAAGAUGGCAGACUGAUUGAUUUCCAGAUCCAGAGCAAGGAAAUGACAAGUGGAUAAAUAUAAGUCAUUGGAAUGAGCCCUGUUACUCACCAAACCUGUGCUGUGGUAACCCCUGUCCUAUCAGACAGAAGUACGUUUGGGUAGGAGGGGCGAACAGAUCACUGCUGAUGUACCAUUGGAGUAGACAGUCGUAAUGUGACACUCCUGAUGUUUUAUGAUGUUGCUUGGAUAAACUGCCUUCAGUUUAGUGUAGCCAAGUUUGGCCGGCUCUCGUAGAGUGGCAUAAUUGGCUCACUGCUCCAGAGGGAGGGACUUGGCAGGGUUAGCUGAUCGCCGCACAAUAAGCACCUUGGGCGCCUCGGAAUCACGGUCACAAGCAUGAGACGAGACGGCUUGAAGAAGGCGUGUUGCUCUCCUUCGGGCCGCCGAGGGACAGGGUGUGGGCGGUGUAUCUAACACUAACUAUAAUUGGAUUAGAUGGGCUACAAUUGGCUGCCAAAUUGGGAGAAAAAGGGAAAAAUCUGAAAUUUAAAAAUUUUAAAGAGUAACUGAGGCACCUCCUUUGGUUAAAAAACAGUGUCCUUCCAAACUUUUCACCACCACUUUCCUGUGUUUAACAACAUUGGAUCCCCUCACUGUCACGGUUCCCUCUGUAUCUUUAGAUGUGCUAUAUAUAAAAAAUACUUUCAUACGUGCAUCUCUGUGCAUUGUCUUGGAACAGCUUACUUAAUAAAAAAUUAUAAUGGAAUCUGAA